Non-coding RNA from Pseudonaja textilis, 765 nucleotides. NCBI's taxonomy places the organism in Eukaryota, Metazoa, Chordata, Lepidosauria, Squamata, Elapidae. The record is from RefSeq and is a predicted model, not a curated record.
AUUACCUGCUUCAGUUGGCCGGCAACCGCACCGUCCCGGUGGAGCUGGGCGCUCGCUACACCGACCAGGAUUGGUCCCAAAACCUCAUGACGGUCGCGGAGUUCGUCGGCCGCUUCGUCAAGCAGGAGAAUCCCAAUGGAUACCUUGCUCAGCACCAGCUUUUUGAACAGAUCCCAGAGCUGAAGGAGGACAUUGGCAUCCCGGACUAUUGUUGCCUGGGCAAAAAUGAUGAAGAGGAGAUCACCAUCAAUGCCUGGUUUGGCCCAUCAGGGACCAUCUCACCUCUUCACCAGGAUCCACAACAAAAUUUCUUGGUCCAGGUGAUGGGACGCAAAUAUAUCCGUCUGUUCUCUCCUGACCAGUCUGAAAAACUGUAUCCACACGAAGGCCACCUUCUUCACAACACCAGCCAGGUUGAUGUGGAAGACCCUGACUUCGUGAAGUUUCCUAAGUUCAAGGAAGCAGCAUUUCAAGACUGUAUCUUGAGCCCUGGAGAGGUCCUGUUUAUCCCGGCCAGUUACUGGCAUUACGUUCGAGCCCUGGACACCAGCUUCUCCGUUAGCUUCUGGUGGUCCUAGUUUAUGCUGAGAACAGAACAGCCACAUCCAGAGGAGCCAAGAAUAGGUACAGGUGAUCCAUGUCUUGCAUCUGCCAUAAGAUGGGCUGGUAGUUACCUGAACAGAAAGGCUGUGGCAGAUGUGGCAUUUCCGGGCAGACUCCGGGUAAUGGCGGAAGAUGUACUGUUCCAGCUCAAGGAUGCUGCGG